Salvia miltiorrhiza (redroot sage) is the source of this 800-nucleotide long non-coding RNA. RefSeq lists it as uncharacterized. NCBI's taxonomy places the organism in Eukaryota, Viridiplantae, Streptophyta, Magnoliopsida, Lamiales, Lamiaceae. The transcript has 2 exons. The record is from RefSeq and is a predicted model, not a curated record.
GCCCUAAACACCUCUCUCUUCUUUCCCCUGACCUCUCUCUCUCUCGAUCGCACACAUGCAGAUUACGGAGGUUCCGUUUCUUCGGUGCCGUCCUCUCGAGUCUCGACGGCGGUGCCUGCCUCUCUCACCCUCUUCUCUCCUCUCUCACCAUCUCGCUUCGACCAUCUUUCCGUCUCCUCUGAAGAUUCGGAACCUCCAUCUCUCGUCUUUUCUCCCUCGCCGCCUCCCUCUCAUAUCCGGCGGCCUCAAUCACAAGCCAUCACCGCCGCCUUUUUUUCCAUACCUCGAACUCUCAAAAUCCACUAUGCGUUCUCUAUGUAAUCACGAAAAAUCCCCAAAUUUUAGAAACCCUAUGUCUCUCCUCCUUUCCUACCGAUGCCGCCUGCCAGAGCCCCUGCAUCUCCCUCUCUUUCUCGGCGCCACUCCUCGGCGACAGCAGCAGGAUCGCUGCCUUCUUCUCCGACCGACAGCAGCGUCACUGCCCCUCUCUUUCUCGGCGCCGCCGCCUGACCAGUGGGGAACUCUUUGCUUACAAUGGUGGUUCAUGGGCUGAUUGUUAAGAGCGGGUUCGUGUUGAACAGUUUUGUGGGAAUCCAGAGCCUCUGGCGUGAGGCAGCAGCUCAUGCCGGCGACGAGAAGGCGUCCUCGACGGCAGCGCCUUCAUUGACACUAUUUAGAUAUGCAAAUGACCCUAUCACUUGAAAUUUCAAUUUUAAUUGACACUCUUACGUUAUAAUAAUGCCAAUGUACGAUAACAACUUAGAUUGUUUCAUUAUAUAAAGGAUAUAGUUUCAUUCCAA